Long non-coding RNA from Oreochromis niloticus (Nile tilapia), 191 nucleotides. RefSeq lists it as uncharacterized. The record is from RefSeq and is a predicted model, not a curated record. Lineage: Eukaryota; Metazoa; Chordata; Actinopteri; Cichliformes; Cichlidae. The transcript is spliced from 2 exons.
UUCAGCCAUUUGGACUCAGCUCAGCCACUACAGAGGAAACAAUGACUUCAACACAAAAGGACCAACAUGGAGCGAGAAGUCCGCGCUCUCAGGAGGCCGACAAACCUCUCAGAAGAAAGGGAGAGAAAAACUACAGCUGUAAUGAGUGCGGGAAGGAUUUUUUCCGGGCCGACAGCUUAAAAAGACACAAA